CCUACGGGAGGCUGCAGUGGGGAAUAUUGGACAAUGGGGGGAACCCUGAUCCAGCCAUGCCGCGUGUGUGAAGAAGGCCCUCGGGUUGUAAAGCACUUUCAGUGAGGAAGAACGCCUGGUGGUUAAUACCCAUCAGGAAAGACAUCACUCACAGAAGAAGCACCGGCUAACUCCGUGCCAGCAGCCGCGGUAAUACGGAGGGUGCGAGCGUUAAUCGGAAUUACUGGGCGUAAAGCGCGCGUAGGUGGCUUGAUAAGCCGGUUGUGAAAGCCCCGGGCUCAACCUGGGAACGGCAUCCGGAACUGUCGAGCUAGAGUGCAGGAGAGGAAGGUAGAAUUCCCGGUGUAGCGGUGAAAUGCGUAGAGAUCGGGAGGAAUACCAGUGGCGAAGGCGGCCUUCUGGACUGCCACUGACACUGAGGUGCGAAAGCGUGGGUAGCAAACAGGAUUAGAUACCCCAGUAGUC
RNAcentral lists this ribosomal RNA (465 nucleotides) under Vreelandella stevensii. RNAcentral's name for it is "partial 16S ribosomal RNA". It matches the Rfam family "Bacterial small subunit ribosomal RNA", at positions 338 to 795 of the family's 1533-position model. The record is from RNAcentral. Lineage: Bacteria; Pseudomonadati; Pseudomonadota; Gammaproteobacteria; Oceanospirillales; Halomonadaceae.